Molecule: transfer RNA, 70 nt
Filed under: marine eukaryotic metagenome
Rfam family: tRNA
About the family: Transfer RNA (tRNA) molecules are approximately 80 nucleotides in length. Their secondary structure includes four short double-helical elements and three loops (D, anti-codon, and T loops).
Source: RNAcentral
CGGGUUAGCUCAGUUGGCCAGAGCGACUGAUUUGUAAUCAGUAGGUCGUUGGUUCAAAUCCGACACUCGG